CCAGGUAAACUCUAUGAGGUGCAAUGUCAUGUAAAUUAGAGCUUGAGAGCUACUCGCUCGAUUCUAAAGGGUAGGCAGAUAGAUUCUAAAAGUAAUUUUAGAACUAGAUAAAUGAUAAGAGCCUUACUUAUGUAAGGAACAGAAUUCGGCUUACAAGUCU
Molecule: non-coding RNA, 160 nt
Filed under: Thalassiosira antarctica
Lineage: Eukaryota; Bacillariophyta; Thalassiosirophyceae; Thalassiosirales; Thalassiosiraceae
Source: RNAcentral